AUUGAACGCUGGCGGCAUGCUUUACACAUGCAAGUCGAACGGUAACAGGCCUUCGGGUGCUGACGAGUGGCGAACGGGUGAGUAAUGCAUCGGAACGUACCCAGAGGUGGGGGAUAACGCAGCGAAAGCUGUGCUAAUACCGCAUGUGAUCUGAGGAUGAAAGCGGGGGACCGAGCAGCAAUGUUUGGCCUCGCGCCUUUGGAGCGGCCGAUGUCGGAUUAGCUAGUUGGUGGGGUAAAGGCCUACCAAGGCGACGAUCCGUAGCUGGUCUGAGAGGACGACCAGCCACACUGGGACUGAGACACGGCCCAGACUCCUACGGGAGGCAGCGAUGGGGAAUUUUGGACAAUGGGCGCAAGCCUGAUCCAGCAAUGCCGCGUGCGGGAAGAAGGCCUUCGGGUUGUAAACCGCUUUUGGCAGGAACGAAACGGUGUCCGCUAAUACCGGGCGCUAAUGACGGUACCUGCAGAAUAAGCACCGGCUAACUACGUG
RNAcentral lists this ribosomal RNA (492 nucleotides) under uncultured bacterium. Its description in RNAcentral is "partial 16S ribosomal RNA". It matches the Rfam family "Bacterial small subunit ribosomal RNA", at positions 29 to 507 of the family's 1533-position model. The record is from RNAcentral.